This is a non-coding RNA of Pelobates cultripes (western spadefoot toad), 219 nucleotides long. The record is from the annotation of a GenBank genome assembly. Lineage: Eukaryota; Metazoa; Chordata; Amphibia; Anura; Pelobatidae.
UUUUUGACCCCGAAUGAAUUUCUUGGGAAGAUUCAUGAGAAAGAUACAGCAGGUUGUUUUGAUAGAAAGAAAGAGGGAAAAGGUAUGUUGUAUCAGUCACAAGGAUUGUGAUCCUAAGCAGGCGAGACAAAGAAAUUUGGGAGGUGAUAGGAGAUUGAAUCAGAAAAGUUUUAAAGGCAGAGGUAGAGGAUUUGGUCAAAGGGUCUAACUUUUGUAGAG